This 272-nucleotide long non-coding RNA is filed under the name Capra hircus (goat). RNAcentral's name for it is "lncRNA (ENSCHIG00000002317.1)". The record is from RNAcentral. Lineage: Eukaryota; Metazoa; Chordata; Mammalia; Artiodactyla; Bovidae.
GACCCUGAUACAAACACCCGCACAGUCAGGGAAGACUUCCAAGAAGAGGAGCGGGGAAGACCAGGCUCAACAGGCGGGAGCACAGCAUUCCAGCCUCUUCUUGGUCAACUAGAGAUCCAUUUGGUCCUCAAGAAGCUGACUCCACGCCUGCCCCAGGGAUAAGCCAAUCAGCAUACUGCAUCCUCUAACCACUGAGAUUGCUCAGAGUGUGACAUGUGACUUUAACUAGUCCAAUGAGAUUGACUUCUGAAACUUUUGCUGGAAUGCUGGGA